CCUACGGGAGGUAGCAGUGGGGAAUAUUGGACAAUGGGGGGAACCCUGAUCCAGCCAUGCCGCGUGUGUGAAGAAGGCCCUCGGGUUGUAAAGCACUUUCAGUGAGGAAGAACGCCUGGUGGUUAAUACCCAUCAGGAAAGACAUCACUCACAGAAGAAGCACCGGCUAACUCCGUGCCAGCAGCCGCGGUAAUACGGAGGGUGCGAGCGUUAAUCGGAAUUACUGGGCGUAAAGCGCGCGUAGGUGGCUUGAUAAGCCGGUUGUGAAAGCCCCGGGCUCAACCUGGGAACGGCAUCCGGAACUGUCAAGCUAGAGUGCAGGAGAGGAAGGUAGAAUUCCCGGUGUAGCGGUGAAAUGCGUAGAGAUCGGGAGGAAUACCAGUGGCGAAGGCGGCCUUCUGGACUGACACUGACACUGAGGUGCGAAAGCGUGGGUAGCAAACAGGAUUAGAUACCCCGGUAGUC
RNAcentral lists this ribosomal RNA (465 nucleotides) under Vreelandella stevensii. RNAcentral's name for it is "partial 16S ribosomal RNA". It matches the Rfam family "Bacterial small subunit ribosomal RNA", at positions 338 to 795 of the family's 1533-position model. The record is from RNAcentral. Lineage: Bacteria; Pseudomonadati; Pseudomonadota; Gammaproteobacteria; Oceanospirillales; Halomonadaceae.